Molecule: long non-coding RNA, 319 nt
Filed under: Nicotiana benthamiana
Lineage: Eukaryota; Viridiplantae; Streptophyta; Magnoliopsida; Solanales; Solanaceae
Description: long non-coding RNA (NBEN_LNC008542)
Source: RNAcentral
AGGCUCGCUUCUUCAAGUUCAAGUUCCGCUUGCUGCUUCUCAUUUUGAUAGGAGUAGGUGCUUGCAGCUCGCUCGCUGUCUACUAAAUGAGCCUUCACUGCCCGCCCGGCCCCUAUCUUUAAUCUUAAGUAAGCAAGUUCAAGUUUCGCUUGCUGCUUCUCAUUUUGAUAGGAUUAGGUUCUUGCAGCUCGCUCGCUGUCUACUAAAUGAGCCUUCACUGCCCGCACGGCCCCUAUCUUUAAUCUUAAGUAAAGUGAAGUCAAAUCAAUGAAGUGAACAGCCCAACCUCUUUGUUUGAAGCUUUGCCAGGAAGCUUCUA